Molecule: small nuclear RNA, 103 nt
Organism: Heterocephalus glaber (naked mole-rat)
Lineage: Eukaryota; Metazoa; Chordata; Mammalia; Rodentia; Bathyergidae
Source: Ensembl
UUGCUCUAGCUGCACAUAUACUAAAAUUAGAAAAAUACAAAGAUGAUUAACAUGGGCCCUACUCAAGGAUGACAUAUAAACUCAUGAAGUACCCAUAUUUUUC